This 204-nucleotide ribosomal RNA is filed under the name uncultured Thermovirga sp. RNAcentral's name for it is "partial 16S ribosomal RNA". It matches the Rfam family "Bacterial small subunit ribosomal RNA", at positions 1180 to 1381 of the family's 1533-position model. The record is from RNAcentral. Lineage: Bacteria; Thermotogati; Synergistota; Synergistia; Synergistales; Thermovirgaceae.
UGACGUCAAGUCAUCAUGGCCCUUAUGUCCAGGGCGACACACGUGCUACAAUGGCCGGCACAGCGGGAAGCGGAGGGGCGACCCUGAGCGGAUCCCUUGAAAGCCGGUCCCAGUUCGGAUUGCAGUCUGCAACUCGACUGCAUGAAGUUGGAAUCGCUAGUAAUCGCGGAUCAGCCAAGCCGCGGUGAAUACGUUCCCGGCCUU